GACGAACGCUGUCGGCGUGCUUAACACAUGCAAGUCGAACGGAAAGGCCCUGCUUUUGUGGGGUGCUCGAGUGGCGAACGGGUGAGUAACACGUGAGUAACCUGCCCUUGACUUUGGGAUAACUUCAGGAAACUGGGGCUAAUACCGGAUAGGAGCUCCUGCUGCAUGGUGGGGGUUGGAAAGUUUCGGCGGUUGGGGAUGGACUCGCGGCUUAUCAGCUUGUUGGUGGGGUAGUGGCUUACCAAGGCUUUGACGGGUAGCCGGCCUGAGAGGGUGACCGGCCACAUUGGGACUGAGAUACGGCCCAGACUCCUACGGGAGGCAGCAGUGGGGAAUAUUGCACAAUGGGCGGAAGCCUGAUGCAGCAACGCCGCGUGCGGGAUGACGGCCUUCGGGUUGUAAACCGCUUUCGCCUGUGACGAAGCGUGAGUGACGGUAAUGGGUAAAGAAGCACCGGCUAACUACGUGCCAGCAGCCGCGGUGAUACGUAGGGUGCGAGCGUUGUCCGGAUUUAUUGGGCGUAAAGGGCUCGUAGGUGGUUGAUCGCGUCGGAAGUGUAAUCUUGGGGCUUAACCCUGAGCGUGCUUUCGAUACGGGUUGACUUGAGGAAGGUAGGGGAGAAUGGAAUUCCUGGUGGAGCGGUGGAAUGCGCAGAUAUCAGGAGGAACACCAGUGGCGAAGGCGGUUCUCUGGGCCUUUCCUGACGCUGAGGAGCGAAAGCGUGGGGAGCGAACAGGCUUAGAUACCCUGGUAGUCCACGCUGUAAACGGUGGGUACUAGGUGUGGGGUCCAUUCCACGGGUUCCGUGCCGUAGCUAACGCUUUAAGUACCCCGCCUGGGGAGUACGGCCGCAAGGCUAAAACUCAAAGGAAUUGACGGGGCCUCGCACAAGCGGCGGAGCAUGCGGAUUAAUUCGAUGCAACGCGUAGAACCUUACCUGGGUUUGACAUGGAUCGGGAGUGCUCAGAGAUGGGUGUGCCUCUUUUGGGGUCGGUUCACAGGUGGUGCAUGCCUGUCGUCAGCUCGUGUCGUGAGAUGUUGGGUUAAGUCCCGCAACGAGCGCAACCCUUGUUCACUGUUGCCAGCACGUUAUGGUGGGGACUCAGUGGAGACCGCCGGGGUCAACUCGGAGGAAGGUGGGGAUGACGUCAAGUCCUCAUGCCCCUUAUGUCCAGGGCUUCACGCAUGCUACAAUGGCUGGUACAGAGAGUGGCGAGCCUGUGAGGGUGAGCGAAUCUCGGAAAGCCGGUCUCAGUUCGGAUUGGGGUCUGCAACUCGACCUCAUGAAGUCGGAGUCGCUAGUAAUCGCAGAUCAGCAACGCUGCGGUGAAUACGUUCCCGGG
RNAcentral lists this ribosomal RNA (1343 nucleotides) under uncultured bacterium. RNAcentral describes it as "16S ribosomal RNA". It matches the Rfam family "Bacterial small subunit ribosomal RNA", at positions 28 to 1378 of the family's 1533-position model. The record is from RNAcentral.